This 403-nucleotide RNase P RNA is filed under the name Chthoniobacterales bacterium. Its description in RNAcentral is "RNase P RNA component class A". It matches the Rfam family "Bacterial RNase P class A". Rfam says of the family: Ribonuclease P (RNase P) is a ubiquitous endoribonuclease, found in archaea, bacteria and eukarya as well as chloroplasts and mitochondria. The record is from RNAcentral. Lineage: Bacteria; Pseudomonadati; Verrucomicrobiota; Spartobacteria; Chthoniobacterales.
UGAUGGCAGAUGAUCGCUGGCGGGAAGAAGUUGCCGCCAGAGGAAAGUCCGAACACCACACGGCAGCAUGCCGCGUAAAAGACGCGGAGAUCGCGCGCGUAAGCGCGCGAUCAUGGAAAGUGUCGCAGAAAACAUACCGCCACGCACUUUGCUCGCAAAGUGCUGGGUAAGGUUGAAAAGGCGAGGUAAGAGCUCACCGCUCGCGGAGCAAUCUGCGAGGCAGGAAAAACCCCAUGUGGUGCAAGACAAAACAGAGGAAGGGCAGCCGGUCCGACGUUCCUCGGGUAUCGUCGCAUCACGGCGUGCGCUAGCGCGCCGGGCGUUCAGUGAGAGCUGGACGAGAUAAAUGAUCAUCACGGCUGAGCGAUCAGCCGGACAGAAUUCGGCUUACCGCCAUCGAAAU